GCAUUCCGUAUAGGGGCGGGGCGACAUGGCCAGCGUAACAGGAGCCGCAUGGUUCCUUGAUGCUUAGCGGCGGACGGGUGAGUAACACGUAGGCAACCUGCCCUCAAGCUUGGGACAACUACCGGAAACGGUAGCUAAUACCGAAUACUUGCUUUCUUCGCCUGAAGGAAGCUGGAAAGACGGAGCAAUCUGUCACUUGAGGAUGGGCCUGCGGCGCAUUAGCUAGUUGGUGAGGUAACGGCUCACCAAGGCGACGAUGCGUAGCCGACCUGAGAGGGUGAUCGGCCACACUGGGACUGAGACACGGCCCAGACUCCUACGGGAGGCAGCAGUAGGGAAUCUUCCGCAAUGGGCGAAAGCCUGACGGAGCAAUGCCGCGUGAGUGAUGAAGGUUUUCGGAUCGUAAAGCUCUGUUGCCAGGGAAGAACGUCCUUGAGAGUAACUGCUCAAGGAGUGACGGUACCUGAGAAGAAAGCCCCGGCUAACUACGUGCCAGCAGCCGCGGUAAUACGUAGGGGGCAAGCGUUGUCCGGAAUUAUUGGGCGUAAAGCGCGCGCAGGCGGUCAUUUAAGUCUGGUGUUUAAUCCCGGGGCUCAACCCCGGAUCGCACUGGAAACUGGAUGACUUGAGUGCAGAAGAGGAGAGUGGAAUUCCACGUGUAGCGGUGAAAUGCGUAGAUAUGUGGAGGAACACCAGUGGCGAAGGCGACUCUCUGGGCUGUAACUGACGCUGAGGCGCGAAAGCGUGGGGAGCAAACAGGGAUUAGAUACCCUGGGUAGUCCACGCCGUAAACGAUGAGUGCUAGGUUGUUAGGGGUUUCGAUACCCUUGGGUUGCCGAAGGUUU
RNAcentral lists this ribosomal RNA (845 nucleotides) under Paenibacillus xylanilyticus. Its description in RNAcentral is "bacterial SSU rRNA". It matches the Rfam family "Bacterial small subunit ribosomal RNA", at positions 29 to 855 of the family's 1533-position model. The record is from RNAcentral. Lineage: Bacteria; Bacillati; Bacillota; Bacilli; Caryophanales; Paenibacillaceae.